GGCUGGAUGGCGCAAUGGUAGCGCGUUACUUUCCGGUACAGGAACAUGGUAAAGGUUCUGGGUUCGAAUCCCAGUCUGGUCG
Chaetomium sp. MPI-CAGE-AT-0009 is the source of this 82-nucleotide non-coding RNA. NCBI's taxonomy places the organism in Eukaryota, Fungi, Ascomycota, Sordariomycetes, Sordariales, Chaetomiaceae. The record is from the annotation of a GenBank genome assembly.